GAUUUUUGAGCAUAGUAUUGGGAGUAGUAUUUAGCACCGAGUUGGGUAUGUUACUACGGUUUCAUACCCCAGAACUACGUGCCACCGUAGGUUGAGAUAUUGACCUCUACUAUAUGUGAAAAACUGAGAGAGUGAUCACUGAGAUGAAAUUGUUCUACACCAAUGGCAAGGGUAGGACAGCCCUAACCUUACGGGGGGCAAGUCGUGGGACAUCAUGGGUGCUCACAUGGUGUACAUGUCGGUUAGAAGAACCUCUCAAAGAGUCGUCCCUCAUUCUUAGAUUGAUUUUACUAAUUUAAAAGAGAUUUGAAAUGCAGAUUUAUGAUGUAUUCAAUAUUCCAAAUUUCACUAAGAUUGCUUGAUGAGAGAAUAAGAAAANNNNNNNNNNNNNNNNNNNNNNNNNNNNNNNNNNNNNNNNNNNNNNNNNNNNNNNNNNNNNNNNNNNNNNNNNNNNNNNNNNNNNNNNNNNNNNNNNNNNNNNNNNNNNNNNNNNNNNNNNNNNNNNNNNNNNNNNNNNNNNNNNNNNNNNNNNNNNNNNNNNNNNNNNNNNNNNNNNNNNNNNNNNNNNNNNNNNNNNNNNNNNNNNNNNNNNNNNNNNNNNNNNNNNNNNNNNNNNNNNNNNNNNNNNNNNNNNNNNNCAUGAUUUGGAAAGAAAACUUAUGACAUGAUCGUUAAAUAUAUAUAUAUAUAUAUAUGUGUGUGUGUGCAUAUAAAUAUAUUUAUUUUAUGCACCCCCAUGUACCCGAUACAUAUUCCAUGGUACUGACCCACAUGUUCGCAUGUGGGCUACAUUUUCCCUAUAAUGUAGGUUCAGGUGCUCAUUCCCAAGUUUGAUCGUGAUUAUCCGAGCACGUUGAUCUACAUCCUCUGCAGUGGUGAUUCCUCAUGGUCCGAGGACUAGUUAUUCAGAUUUCCUCAUUUACUUUGAGUCGUUCAGUUUAUUUCCUGAGUUCAGGUCAGUUGGGGUUUGUCCCAAUGGCUUAUGGAUAUACAGUUUAGUAGAGGCUUGUCAGACUAGAUGGAUAGAUUGAUCAGAUUUGUCAGAGAUGUCAUAUUUUGUUACUUUCCAUAUUUCAUUCGUAUUACAGUAUGAUAUUAUAGAGGAUUUUUAGAUGUUUUGAUUAUGAUGACUUUGAUUAUAAGUGUUGAAUGGUAAAAAAUGGCUAAAAGGGUUAGCUUGGGGCUACUUGUAGCCUUAAGCACCGUGUGAUGCCUCGGGGUCCAUUUUUGGUGCGUUACAAACUUGGUAUCAAAGCCUAAGGUUAUUGGAGUCCUAGGGAGUCUGACAAGCCAUGUUAAGUAGAGUCUUGAUCAUCGGUGUGUCGCGUGCCACAUCUAUGAGAAAGAGGCUACGAAAUGUUUUAGAAAAAAAAAAGGGUCGUUUCAUUCUUUCAGAAGUCUAUCGUGCUUACAAUUGUUCCCUUUCAGCUAUUAAUUCAUGCUCUCUUCUUUCAAAAUAUGCCUCCUCACCGAGCUAGAAGAAAUAAUGCGGGUCAGCAACCUCAGCCUGCAGAUCCCCUGAAUGAGAAUAUAUCCCACACUGAGUUCAGGGUAGCCUUUUAGGCGCUUGCCCAAUCUGUUACCGCCAACGUUCAGGCUAACCAGGCCAUAGCUCCACAACAACAAGGAGGUUACUUUACUUCUGUAAGAAGUCAUGACUUUAUGCGGAUGAAUCCGCCAGAGUUUUAUGGGUUCAAGGUAGGUGAGGAUCCGCAGUUGUAUCUAGAAGAGAUAAGGAAGAUCACACAGGUAAUGCACGUGUCUGAGGAGGAGAGUAUUGAGUUAGCAUCCUACAUAUUGAAAGACCUUGCGUAUGACUGGGUGGUUGCAUGGAGAAAGGGUAGAGUAGAGGGUGCUGCUCCUAUGACUUGGCAGGAGUUCUAGGAUGCAUUCCUGGAUAAAUUCUUUUCGCUAGAGUUGAGAGAGGUGAAAGUAGAGGAGUUCAAAAACUUACAGCAAGGCUCCAUGACUGUUAAAGAGUAUUGCUUGAAGUUCAAUCAGUUAGCAAAAUAUGCCUCAAAUCUGAUAGCCAACAACCGAACCAGUAUGGGUAAGUUCUUGAUAGGGGUGUCAAGCUAUGUGGUUAAGGAGUGUAGAUCAUCUAUGCUUAGUAGUGAGAUGAAUCUUUCCAGACUGAUGAGCCAUGCCCAAUAGAUCAAAUCAGAUAUGAUAAAAAAGAGGGAUAGAGUAAGGAGGCAUAAGAGAGCCAGAUCCGAGCAACCUACUUAUGGUCAGAACAGAUUACAAGGAGGGAAUCGUCCUAUGUUUCAGAGUCGCUCAUCCAUGCCAGCACCAUCGUCAACUAGUGCUCUAGCACUUAGAGAUAGGCAAAAAUAGGGAAACAGGUUUUCUAUGUUCGGAUCUCAAAAUACUAUAAGUAAUCGGACUAACCGUCCACCAUGCACCAGGUGUGGUAGGGAUCACGGGGAUAAGUGUUUGUGAGGUCAGAAGGGCUGGUAUGGAUGUGGACAAGAGGGCCACGGUUUUAGAGAUUGUCCCCAUACCAAAUAGGGGAACCGUGAUGUUCGCCCCCAGGCUCAGACUGCUAGUGCUCCAGCUCCUGUAGCUCGUCCAGCUCCUACUCAUGGUGCUUCUUCCAGCACUGCUGGUGGUCAGCACCAGAACAAAUUCUAUGCUUUGUCUUCCCGUCAAGAGCAGAAGGACUCCCCCGAUGUUAUUACUGGUAUGCUUUGUGUGUUUUAGUUUGAUGUUUAUGCGUUGUUGGACCCUAGGUCCAAUUUUUUAUAUGUGACACCUCUGGUUGCUGUAAAUUUUAAAGUGAGUCCUGAGACUGUCUCUGAGCCCAUCCUAGUUUCUACCCCUGUGGGUGAGUCCAUUGUUGCCUAAAAAGUGUACAAAAAGUGUCCUGUUUUUAUUCUUCAUAGAGUUAUGUUUGCUGAUAUGAUAGAGUUAGACAUGGUAGAUUUUGAUGUUAUUCUGGGUAUGGACUGGCUUCACUCUUGUUAUGCAUCCAUAGACUGUCAUACCCGUGUAGUCAAGUUUCAGUUCCCUGGUGAAUCUGUUAUCGAAUGGUCUGGUAAUUCCGCAUCUCCCAAGAGUCAUUUUAUCUCAUACUCAAGGCUAGAAAGCUUAUUUCCAAAGGGUGCAUUUAUCACCUAGUUAGAGUUGAAGACACUAAGUCUGAGACUCCAACUCUCCAGUCGGUUGACAUUGUUAAUGAGUUUCCCGAUGUCUUUUCGGAAGAUCUUCCAGGGGUACCUCCCGAUAGAGAGAUAGAAUUUGAGAUUGAUCUUCUUCUCGAUACUCAGCCUAUUUCCAUUCCUCCAUAUCGUAUGGCACCUGCAGAACUUAAGGAGUUGAAAGAGCAACUCAAAGAUCUCUUAGAUAGAGGUUUUAUAAGACCAAGUAUGUCUCUUUGGGGGUGCACCUGUCCUAUUCGUGCGAAAGAAAGAUGGCUCUUUGCGUAUGAGCAUUGACUAUCGCCAGCUUAACAAAUUCAUUAUCAAAAACAAGUAUCCCCUUCCAAGAAUAGAUGAUUUGUUUGAUCAAUUGCAAGGUGCAAGUUACUUCUCAAAGAUAGACCUUCGCUCUGGCUAUCAUCAACUCAGAGUUAGGGAAUGUGAUAUCCCAAAGACAGCCUCCCGAAUACGUUAUGGUCAUUUUGAGUUUCUUGUUAUGUCCUUCGGGCUAACUAAUUCCCCAGCAGCUUUCAUUGACCUCAUGAAUCGAGUGUUCAGGCCAUAUCUUGAUAUGUUUGUCAUAGUGUUAAUAGAAGACAUUCUGGUAUACUCCCGUAGUGAGAAUGAACAUGCAGAUCAUCUCUAUAUCGUCUUGCAAACCCUUAGAGAUCAUCACUUGUUCGCCAAAUUUAGCAAGUGUGAAUUUUGGCUAAGGUCAGUUGCUUUUUUGGGUCAUAUUAUUUCUUUCGAAGGUGUUAGAGUUGAUCCCCAAAAAAUAAAAGCUAUUAGAAACUGGCCUAGACCUGUCUCUCCGUCCAACAUUAGAAGUUUCUUGGGUCUAGUUGGCUAUUACCGCCGUUUUGUUGAAGGUUUCUACUCUAUAGCAUCUCCUAUGACCCGGUUGACCCAAAAGAAAGUGAAGUUCUUGUGGUCCGAUUCUUGUGAGAAUAGUUUUCGAAAGUUAAAAAGUCAACUCACUACAGCCCCUAUUUUGACUCUGCCUGAUGGCGUUGAUGGUUUUGUGGUAUAUUGUGAUACUUCUAGAGUUGGUUUGGGUUGUGUACUGAUGCAGAGAGGUAAGGUUAUAGCCUAUGCCUCUAGGUAGCUUAAACCCCAUGAGAAAAAUUACCCCACCCAUGAUCUUGAGUUAGUUGCUGUUGUGUUUGCUCUGAAAAUCUGGAGACACUACUUGUAUGGGGUUCAUUUUGAUGUUUUCACUGAUCAUAAGAGUCUACAGUAUGUUUUACCCAGAGAGAGUUGAAUCUUAGGUAGAGAAGGUGGUUAGCGUUAUUGAAAGACUAUGAUAUGAGUGUGUUGUAUCAUCCGGGAAAUGCCAAUGUAGUGGCGAAUGCCCUUAGCAGGAUGUCUAUGGGUAGUGUUUCGCAUAUUAGAGAGAGUAAGAAGGAGUUGGCUCGUGAUGUGCAUCGGUUGGCUAGGUUGGGAGUUAGGUUGCUUGACUCCUAUGAAGGGAGUAUGUUAGUUCAGAGUAGCUCCGAAUCCUCCUUGGUUUCAGAAGUAAAGGAGAAGCAAAUCUUAGAUGCUAGUUUGGUCAGACUGAAAGAAUCAGUCAAGGACCAAAAGGUGGAGGUUUUCUCCCAAGAGGGGGAUGGUGUGUUAAGAUUGCAAGAUAAAUUAUGUGUUCCGGAUGUCGAGGAUCUGAGACAGAGAAUUAUGGUUGAAGCGCACAAUGCACGAUAUUCUAUUCAUCCUGGUACCACUAAGAUGUACCGCGACUUACGGGAAAUCUAUUGGUGGAGUGGCAUGAAGAAGGAUAUAGCAGCAUUUGUGGCUAAGUGUGUGACAUGCCAAUAGGUUAAGGUAGAACACCAAAGACCUGGUGGUAUGAUAUAGGAGUUCGGUAUUCCCACUUGGAAGUGGGAAGAGAUAAACAUGGAUUUUAUGACUGGUUUACCUCCUUCCCGACUCCAGCAUGAUUCCAUUUGGGUUGUUGUGGAUAGAUUAACUAAGUCUGUGCACUUCUUGCCUGAGCAGACUUCUUAUACUGCUGAGGAUUACGCUAGAUUGUACAUUCGGGAAUUAGUCAGAUUGCAUGGAGUUCCCUUGUCCAUCAUUUCAGAUAGGGGUACUCAGUUUACUUCGCAGUUUUGGAGAGCUUUUCAAAAGGGUCUUGGUAUCCAAGUGCAUUUGAGUUCUGCUUUCCAUCCGCAGACAGAUGGUCAGGCUGAGAGGACCAUCCAGACCUUAGAGGAUAUGUUGAGAGCGUGUGCUCUUGACUUUAAGGGGAGUUGGGAUGAUCAUUUACCGUUGAUAGAGUUUUCUUACAAUAACAGUUUUCAUUCUAGCAUUGGCAUGGCUCCAUUUGAGGCUUUGAAUGAGAGGAAAUAUAGGUCACCCAUAGGUUGUUUUGAAGCGGGUGAAGCGGUCGUGAGUGGUCCUGAUUCGGUCUUUGAAUUUAUGGAAAAAGUCAAAGUGAUUAGAGAAAGAUUAAAAACCGCACAGAGUCGCCAGAAGUCGUAUGCUAAUGUGAGGAGAAGAGACCUUGAAUUUGAAGUUGGUGACUUGGUGUAUUUGAAGAUUUCACCCAUGAAGGGAGUGAAGAGAUUUGGAAAGAAGGGGAAACUUAGUCCCCAUUAUGUUAGCCCCUAUAGAGUUCUUAGCCGUGUUGGUAAGGUAGCGUAUGAGGUUGCGCUGCCUUAAGAGUUAUUUUCCGUUCAUUCUGUCUUCCAUGUAUCCAUGCUUAGGAAAUACGUUGGUGAUUGUGUUGUGUUAGAUCCUUCAGAAAACCCUGUUGUGCAAGAUAGUCUUUCUUUUGAGGAAGUUCCUGUUGAGAUUUUAGAUCACCAAGUCCGAAGACUAAGGAACAAAGAAGUUCCCUUGGUCAAGGUAUUGUGGCGAAACCAAUCUGUUGAGGAUGCAACAUGGGAAGCUGAGGCGGAUAUGCGAUCCAAGUACCCUCACCUAUUUUCCAUAAGCUCUGAUCAAGCCGAAGGUACCAUUCUGCUUUAAAUCAUUCCUUUUCUAUGCAGAAUUACAGUAGUUCAAUAGUUAUUUUAUACGAUUCAGCUGUGAUUUCAUGAGUGAUGCACCCCUUGUUAUGUCGGAAAUGUAGAAUGAAAUAGAGGCAAGAAUAGCAAGUUGCUACAUCUUUGUACCCUUCAUUUUCUCUUUACUCAUAGUAUACCCAGCGUCAUUCGAGGACGAAUGUCCCCAAGGGGGAGAUAUUGUAAUGCCCCGCACUUUUCUAAGCUAGAAAAUGAACCGUUGUUCGUAUAUAUGAAAACCCUAAUUUUGUAAGCCAUAUUUGGGAACCUAAAUUACCAAGACUACCCUAGUUAUAAGAGAGCUUAUGAUGUGUUAAGUGUGGUUAUAUGAGUCACUUAAGGUAGUACAAGCUAAGAGUUUCAAAAACCAUCAACUUUUAGUGUUUCAAUUUGCAAGGGUCAUCUUUGAAUGAGCAUAACUUGAUAAAUAUGUGGUAUUUUUGCAUAUUUCUACCUGCAAAAGUAUAGAUAAUCGAAAGUUAUGGCUUUACAAAGUAGAGUGCGUUGUCUAACCAAUCGCACAUGGCCACUGGAAAGCAUGUGCGAUAGCAUAUGCGGCGCCUAUGUAAAUAUCGGCGAUAUCAUAUGUGGCGCCUAUGUAAAUAUAGGCGAUAUCAUAUGCGGCGCCUAUGUAAAUAUAUGUGAUAUCAUAUGCGGCGCAUAUCUUAUGGUUUCAAGUGACUUAAACACUCUGUUUUUGGGUUAUUUUGAGGGAAAUUAAGUCUUUUGGCACUCCUUACACACCCCUAAACUUAACCUUACGAAUUUAAUAGAUUCUAAACACAUCAUAACCCUAUUAUCAGUCUAAGUUCAUCAUCCAAGAGUUCAAGAUACUAUGAUUAUUUUGAAUGUUUAGAAAAUAAACUCCAUGAGUUUGAGAUUAUUGUUAUGAUUAAAGGCUGAAAUUUUUUUAGAUUUCCGUAUAAACUAUGCACGCUUGUGAUAUAAAGUAUAAAUGUUGAAAUGUUUUAAUUAAGUAUCGCUAUAAGGGUCAUUAACCCACAUUGAGAUUGUUGUUUUGAGAAUUUAUGUGCUACAUGCACCCAUGUUUAGACUAUUUUUUAUGAAGUAUAGAAAGAUUUGACCUUUUGGUCACAACAGAGUUAAAAUCCACUUUAUGAAACGAGUUACGAAUUUUAUCAUUUAUUUAACUUAAGAAAUAUGAGAUUACCUUUAAAGUGAAUUUUUCUUGAGAUUUCUGAGCAUAGUAAUGGGAGUAGUAUUUAGCACCGAGUUGGAUAUGUUACUACGGCUUCAUACCCCAGAAUUACGUGCCACCGUAGGUUGAAACAUUGACUUCCACUAUACGUGGAAAAUUGAGAUAGUGAUCACUGAGAUAAGAUUGUUCUACACCGAUGGCAAGGGUAGGACAGCCCUAACCUUACGGGGGCAAGUCGUGGGAUAUCAUGGGUGCUCACAUGGUGUGCAUGUCGGUUAGAAGAACCUCCCAAAG
Molecule: long non-coding RNA, 7595 nt
Filed under: Capsicum annuum
Lineage: Eukaryota; Viridiplantae; Streptophyta; Magnoliopsida; Solanales; Solanaceae
Description: long non-coding RNA (CANN_LNC013043)
Source: RNAcentral